Molecule: long non-coding RNA, 1402 nt
Filed under: Ananas comosus (pineapple)
Lineage: Eukaryota; Viridiplantae; Streptophyta; Magnoliopsida; Poales; Bromeliaceae
Description: long non-coding RNA (ACOM_LNC007662)
Source: RNAcentral
UUCGGAGUUAAGAGUUGGAAUAACCGCUUAACUCCGAAGUUAUUUCCAAACACCCAAUUUGGAGGGUGGGGUUAGCUAACCCUACCUCAAAUGGGCUAUCCCGGGUUAGCUAACCCCACCCCACCCCACUACUCUAACCAAACAAAACACUAUUUUAUCCACUAUCUUUCUUAUCCCACCUAGUCUAACAAAACACUAUUUUACUUAUACCUGAACUAAACCUAAUUCUCAAUCAAACACAAAAUUACUCUAGCUCCAUCUUAAUCCUGAACUUAACUCUAUUCCUGGAAUAACAAGUUUUUACUUAACCCCAAACCAAACGAUGGCUUAGGGUUCCGUUUAUAUCCUAUUACUAUAUAUAUUUUUAUAUAUCCAAAAUAUUUCUAAAACCCUCAUCUUAGAUGCACCUCUUCCUUCCUCAUUGACAUUCUCGACCGCGCCGCCUCGCCCUCGCCCACCUCUCCGUCCUGCCCUCACACACGCUCUCGUCCUCCUCCAUCGUCUCACCCUCGCCCUCGCCACCUCUCCUUCCAUGCCNCCCACUCAACCCUAGGGGACCACCACUAAACCCUAGGCACCCGUUUGGUUCGGGGUAAAGGGGUGGAAUAACCCCUUAACCCCGAAGUUAUUCCCAAACACUCAAUUUGGGAGGUGGGGUUAGCUAACCCCACCCCACCCCACCCCACCCCACCCCACUACUCUAACCAAACAAAACACUAUUUUAUCCACUAUCUUUCUUAUCCCACCUAGUCUAACAAAACACUAUUUUACUUAUACCUGAACUAAACCUAAUUCUCAAUCAAACACAAAAUUACUCUAGCUCCAUCUUAAUCCUGAACUUAACUCUAUUCCUGGAAUAACAAGUUUUUACUUAACCCCAAACCAAACGAUGGCUUAGGGUUCCGUUUAUAUCCUAUUACUAUAUAUAUUUUUAUAUAUCCAAAAUAUUUCUAAAACCCUCAUCUUAGAUGCACCUCUUCCUUCCUCAUUGACAUUCUCGACCGCGCCGCCUCGCCCUCGCCCACCUCUCCGUCCUGCCCUCACACACGCUCUCGUCCUCCUCCAUCGUCUGACCCUCGCCCUCGCCACCUCUCCUUCCAUGCCUACCUCGAUCUUCUCCCUUAAGUCGCUGAAAUGGAGGGGUUGUGGGGGGGCUGGAGGAGCGGGGGAGCAGGUGAAGAAAAUGGGGUCGGAGAUAAGGUCGAGAGAGGCACGAAGGACGGAGGAGAAGAGGCUACAAAUGAGCAGACGAAGAGAAUGAGGAGCAAUUUAGUCGUUUUGUUAUCAAGUUAACACCUAUUUCUGUGAAUAUUUUUUAUUUUAAAAGGGCAAAGUAUUGAUUCUUAAAUAAUAGAAAAAAGUGAAAAAUCGAAUUUUGACGGAUAAUUUUUUUUUUUGUAAU